GGGUCAUUAGGUUGGUCGUGCCACCGGUACGUACUGGUCUCAAUGAUUCCUCCUUCCUGAAGAACCGUAAUGCCAUUAAUUUGGUGUUGCGGGGAAACAGGACUGUUACUUUGAAAAAAUUAGAGUGUUUAAAGCAAGCUAACGCUUGAAUACAUUAGCAUGGAAUAAUGAAAUAGGACGAUCGAUCCUAUUUUGUUGGUUUCUAGGAUUGACGUA
Molecule: ribosomal RNA, 216 nt
Filed under: Glomeromycotina sp.
Lineage: Eukaryota; Fungi; Glomeromycota
Description: partial small subunit ribosomal RNA
Rfam family: Eukaryotic small subunit ribosomal RNA (bases 40-216)
Source: RNAcentral